AUUGAACGCUGGCGGCAGGCCUAACACAUGCAAGUCGAGCGGUUGACGGGAGCUUGCUCCCUGAUUCAGCGGCGGACGGGUGAGUAAUGCCUAGGAAUCUGCCUAUUAGUGGGGGACAACGUUUCGAAAGGAACGCUAAUACCGCAUACGUCCUACGGGAGAAAGCAGGGGACCUUCGGGCCUUGCGCUAAUAGAUGAGCCUAGGUCGGAUUAGCUUGUUGGUGAGGUAAUGGCUCACCAAGGCGACGAUCCGUAACUGGUCUGAGAGGAUGAUCAGUCACACUGGAACUGAGACACGGUCCAGACUCCUACGGGAGGCAGCAGUGGGGAAUAUUGGACAAUGGGCGAAAGCCUGAUCCAGCCAUGCCGCGUGUGUGAAGAAGGUCUUCGGAUUGUAAAGCACUUUAAGUUGGGAGGAAGGGUUGUAGAUUAAUACUCUGCAAUUUUGACGUUACCGACAGAAUAAGCACCGGCUAACUCUGUGCCAGCAGCCGCCGUAA
This 500-nucleotide ribosomal RNA is filed under the name uncultured bacterium. RNAcentral's name for it is "partial 16S ribosomal RNA". It matches the Rfam family "Bacterial small subunit ribosomal RNA", at positions 30 to 523 of the family's 1533-position model. The record is from RNAcentral.